ACUUUGACCGGAGUCCAUUAACAAAUUUGGGAGAAAAAUUGAGAUUUUGAUUUCUCAAAAUCAAAAAUAAAACAGAUUUAGGAGAAUGAAAAUAAUGUCCAUCUUGGAGAAUGAAAGAUUGAAUUCUACAAUAUUCAUGUAAGUUUUUCACAAAAUAUCUCUCAAAAUUUACAAUAUUUUUAUAGCUCUAUUUUUUAUUAACCGAAUCCCCGCACCCGUAUCUAUAUCCGGAUUCGCACCUCCGAAUCUUAAAAUUUAAAUUUUGCCGAAUCCGAUACUCGGAUCCGUCCCUGUAUCGGAUACCCGCACCCGAGUCCGAGCAGCUUAGGUCAUAGCUGAGCAGAAGAAAUCAUACCAUUUUCAUCUUUGACCAAUGGUGAACAGGAUGAUUCUCUUGGCUAUGCAUCAUAUUUUGUCCUUGUUCCUGCCAUUCAAUGUUCCCCUUCUAAUUUAUAGGCUUUCAGUUGUACCUUCUUAUCCUCUGGGAUUUCAAUGUAAUUGAAGAUUCUAUCAACUCUAUCAAUCUAAUCAAGAAACUCCUUAGUAUGUAGAUGCCCCUUAAAAGAAGGAAGAUCAAUCUUUAGCCGAAACUCUCCUCGGCAACUUUAUUCUUGCCAUUGACUUUCAAUAUCAAAUGGAUUACCAUGAUUAUUAUGUUAUCUUGUGCAGAAAUCUCCUUACUCCAUAGCCAGCAGUACAAGUGUAAUUCUUUCAUAAACUAAGAACUAUUAUUUUGCAAUGGCCUUCUGAUAAUGGAUGUUUGUUGCUCAUUUUAAAUGUACUUACACUCCCGCCAAUAACUUAUCUUCCUUCCUUGCAGAUUCCUGCAGAAGAAUCAAAGUGCAUUUUUCCUGUCCAUGUACCAUUCUGCGGAAGGUUUUGAUGUGGCUGACAAGAAACAGGAUAACUGAGUUGGAACUUUUCUUCUCUAGUGUACAUUCUAUAUCACACCUACUAUGUAUAUUCUCUGUUCUCCAAUGCAGAACUAUGUUGUAUUACCAGGGAUGUUACUAGUAAAUUUUGCUGCAUAGUAGCUCGCACAUGUUUUCCUACUUAUUGCCUGUGCAGUGGCUAUUCCAGUGUUCUGGUUGUCCAGCUAAAUCUUUUCUCUUGAAAACAGGUACUUAUGUACCCUACUAACUUGUGUUACAUAUGGGAAAGAAAUUUGCUCUGCAAUAACUAAUAGGAGGUGUCGACAAUGUAAGGUGCAUUGAGUUGUCUUUACAUAAGACGGUAUUUCCUAUUUCAUGGCAUGACAUCUUACGCUCAUCCCUUUAUUCCGUAAAUUAUGUAUUAAGCUUAUAUUAAAUAAUCUAUCUACUUUUACCAUAUCAAAUAGUCUCGAAGUGUAAUUACUUGUAAAAGGUAAAUGCUGCACGAUAGAUUUUUUCUACAAGAUGAUUUUUUUUCCUUUUUGGUGAUGUGGACUGCUAGAUUGGAAAGUAGGUUGAUAAUGAUGCCCAUGAAGUUGUCAUAAAGAUGGCACGAUUGGACACAACGAAACCUAUUUUGCAGAAUGGGCU
This 1523-nucleotide long non-coding RNA is filed under the name Nicotiana tabacum (common tobacco). Its description in RNAcentral is "long non-coding RNA (NTAB_LNC012010)". The record is from RNAcentral. Lineage: Eukaryota; Viridiplantae; Streptophyta; Magnoliopsida; Solanales; Solanaceae.